This 229-nucleotide long non-coding RNA is filed under the name Elaeis guineensis (African oil palm). Its description in RNAcentral is "long non-coding RNA (EGUI_LNC032516)". The record is from RNAcentral. Lineage: Eukaryota; Viridiplantae; Streptophyta; Magnoliopsida; Arecales; Arecaceae.
CAUAAUAUGAAGGUAGAAUUUUUACAUUAGAAAAUACCUCCAGCAGAAGUUCAAGUAAGAAGGUGAAGGCUUUAUCACUCCAUCCAUGGUGACACUUGAGAUUCAAUAAUCUAACCAUGAAUGCUAACAUUAAAAAUUUAGAACUUGGAUGUAUUGGCUGCUAAUAUUCCUCUAUUAAUUUGUAAUACUUCUUAGCUUCUAUAUUUGGUUCCUCAAGAUCAUCCCUAUU